AGUGAACGCUGGCGGCGUGCCUAAUACAUGCAAGUCGAACGGACACACAGUAAGAUCUUGCUCUUACGGUUGGCGAGUGGCGGGCGGGUGAGGCAUACAUCGCAAUCUUCUUUUUCGUGGGGGAUAUCGUAGGGACACUUCCGCUAAUACCUCAUAUAUUGUACGGGUGAAAGCAGGAGUUCUUCGGACCUUUCCCGUCUCAUUGAGCCGAUGUCGCAUUAGCUAGUUGGGUGGGUAAGGGCACACCAAGGCGACGAUGCGUAGCGGAUCUGAGAGGAUGAUCAGCCACACUGGAACUGAGACACGGUCCAGACUCCUACGGGAGGCAGCAGUGGGGAAUAUUGGACAAUGGGCGAAAGCCUGAUCCAGCAACGCCGCGUGAGUGAUGAAGGCCUUCGGAUUGUAAAGCCCUUUUAUUGGGGAAGAAAAGCAGCGGGUUUAUACCCGGAUGUUCUGACGGUACCCAAAGAAUAAGCACCGGCUAACUUCGUG
RNAcentral lists this ribosomal RNA (492 nucleotides) under uncultured bacterium. Its description in RNAcentral is "partial 16S ribosomal RNA". It matches the Rfam family "Bacterial small subunit ribosomal RNA", at positions 29 to 507 of the family's 1533-position model. The record is from RNAcentral.